Molecule: ribosomal RNA, 789 nt
Filed under: uncultured bacterium
Lineage: Bacteria
Description: bacterial SSU rRNA
Rfam family: Bacterial small subunit ribosomal RNA
Source: RNAcentral
GCGUAAGGGAGAGUAACACGUGGGUACUUACCCCCGGGACCGGGAUAGCUGCGGGAAACUGCAAUUAAUACCGGAUAACGUCCCCGGACCAAAGGUGUGAUUCCGCCUGGGGAGGGGCCCGCGUCCUAUCAGCUAGUUGGAGAGGUAACGGCUCACCAAGGCAAUGACGGGUACGGGGUGUGAGAGCAUGCCCCCGCUCACUGGGACUGAGACACUGCCCAGACACCUACGGGUGGCUGCAGUCGAGAAUCUUCCGCAAUGGGCGAAAGCCUGACGGAGCGACGCCGCGUGCGGGAUGAAGGCCUUCGGGUUGUAAACCGCUGUCGGAUGGGAGGAAAUUCAUGGGGGUUCUCCCCUGUGAUUGACUGAACAUCGGAGGAAGCACAGGCUAAGUUCGUGCCAGCAGCCGCGGUAACACGAACUGUGCAAACGUUAUUCGGAUUUACUGGGCUUAAAGAGUUCGUAGGCGGCUUGAUAAGUCGGGUGUGAAAUCCCCCAGCCCAACUGGUGAACUGCGCUCGAUACUGUCGGGCUCGAGGGAGAUAGAGGUGAGCGGAACUGAUGGUGGAGCAGUGAAAUGCGUUGAUAUUAUCAGGAACACCGGUGGCGAAAGCGGCUCACAGGGUCUCAACUGACGCUGAGGAACGAAAGCUAGGGGAGCGAACGGGAUUAGAUACCCCGGUAGUCCUAGCCGUAAACGAUGAGCACUAGGUUGAGGGGACCUCCACAUCCCCCCGGCCGUAGCGAAAGUGUUAAGUGCUCCGCCUGGAGAGUAUGGUCGCAAGGCUG